GGUUCGAUUCUGGCUCAGAUUGAACGCUGGCGGGAUGCUUUACAUGCAAGUCGAACGGCAGCCUGGACUUUCCCAGUCUGGUGGCGAGUGGCGAACAGGUGAUAAAUAUCGGAACGUGCCUAGUAGCGGGGAUAUGCGCGAAAGCGUAUGUCCGCAUACGCCCUUCGGGGAAAGCGGGGGACCUUCGGGCCUCGCACUAUUAGAGCAGCCGAUAUCCGGAUUAGCUAGUUGGUGAGGUAACGGCUCACCAAGGCGACGAUCCGUAGCUGGUUUGAAGGACGACCAAUACACUGGGACUGAGACACGGCCCAGACUCCUGCGGAGGCAGCGGUGGGGAAUUUUGGACAAUGGGGGAAACCCUGAUCCAGCCAUCCCGCGAUAUUGCGAUGAGGCCUUCAGGUUGUAAAGCACUUUUGGCAGAAAGAAACGGCGGGAUAAUACCCCGUGCAACUGACGGCCACCACCACAGAAUAAGCACCAACAACUACGUGCCAGCAGCCGCGGUAAUACGUAGGAGUGCAAGCGUUAAUCAGAUUACUGGGCGUAAAGCGUGCGCAGGCGGUUCGGAAAGAAAGAUGUAGAAAUCCCAGAAGACUUAACUUUGGAACUGCAUUUUAACUGCCAAGGCUAGAAGAUGUGUCCAGAGGAGGUGAAUUCCACGUGUAGCAGUGAAAUGCGUAGAUAUGCGGAGGAACACCAAUGGCGAAGGCAGCCUCCUGGGAUAACACUGACGCUCAUGCACAACGUGGGAGCAAACAGGAUUAGAUACCCUGGUAGUCCACGCCUAAACGAUGUCAACUAGCUGUUGGGGCCUUCGGGCCUUGGUAGCGCAGCUAACGCGUGAAGUUGACCGCCUGGGAGGCUACGGUCGCAAGAUUAAAACUCAAAGGAAUUGACGGGGACCCGCACAAGCGGUGGAUGAUGUGGAUUAAUUCAGUACAGCAUGAAAAACCUUACCCUUGACAUGUCUGGAAUCCCGAAAGAAUUUAGGAGUGCUCGCAAGAGAACCGGAACACAGGUGCUGCAUGGCUGUCGUCAGCUCGUGUCGUGAGAUGUUGGGUUAAGUCCCGCAACGAGCGCAACCCUUGUCAUUAGUUGCUACGAAAGGGCACUCUAAUGAGACUGCCGGUGACAAACCGGAGGAAGGUGGGGAUGACGUCAAGUCCUCAUGGCCCUUAUGGGUGAUGUCACAAUGGCCGGGACAGAGGGUCGCCAACCACGAGAGGCCAAUCCGAAGCCCAGUCGUCAGUCGGAUCGCAGUCUGCAACUCGACUGCGUGAAGUCAGGAAUCGCUAAGUAAUCGCGGAUCAGCAUGUCGCGUUGAAUACGUUCCCGGAGUCAUGCAUACACACCGCCGUCACACCAUGCGGGAGUGGGUUUUGCAGAAGUAGUUAGCCUAACCGUAAGGAGGCGAUUACUACGGUAGGAUUCAUGACUGGGGUGAAGUCGUAACAAGGU
Molecule: ribosomal RNA, 1458 nt
Filed under: uncultured Bordetella sp.
Lineage: Bacteria; Pseudomonadati; Pseudomonadota; Betaproteobacteria; Burkholderiales; Alcaligenaceae
Description: partial 16S-23S ribosomal RNA intergenic spacer
Rfam family: Bacterial small subunit ribosomal RNA
Source: RNAcentral